GAUGAACGCUGGCGGCGUGCCUAAUACAUGCAAGUCGAGCGAACAGACGAGGAGCUUGCUCCUUUGACGUUAGCGGCGGACGGGUGAGUAACACGUAGGUAACCUACCUAUAAGACUGGGAUAACUUCGGGAAACCGGAGCUAAUACCGGAUAAUAUUUCGAACCGCAUGGUUCGAUAGUGAAAGAUGGCUUUGCUAUCACUUAUAGAUGGACCUGCGCCGUAUUAGCUAGUUGGUAAGGUAACGGCUUACCAAGGCAACGAUACGUAGCCGACCUGAGAGGGUGAUCGGCCACACUGGAACUGAGACACGGUCCAGACUCCUACGGGAGGCAGCAGUAGGGAAUCUUCCGCGAUGGGCGAAAGCCUGACGGAGCAACGCCGCGUGAGUGAUGAAGGUCUUCGGAUCGUAAAACUCUGUUAUUAGGGAAGAACAAACGUGUAAGUAACUGUGCACGUCUUGACGGUACCUAAUCAGAAAGCCACGGCUAACUACGU
Molecule: ribosomal RNA, 496 nt
Filed under: uncultured bacterium
Lineage: Bacteria
Description: partial 16S ribosomal RNA
Rfam family: Bacterial small subunit ribosomal RNA
Source: RNAcentral